Molecule: ribosomal RNA, 253 nt
Filed under: uncultured prokaryote
Description: partial 16S ribosomal RNA
Rfam family: Bacterial small subunit ribosomal RNA
Source: RNAcentral
GACGAACCGUGCGAACGUUAUUCGGAAUCACUGGGCUUAAAGGGUGCGUAGGCUGCGAGGAGGGUGGGGUGUGAAAUCCCUCGGCUUAACCGAGGAAUUGCGCUCCAAACCGCCUGGCUGGAGUGAGACAGAGGUGAGCGGAACUAAUGGUGGAGCGGUGAAAUGCGUUGAUAUCAUUAGGAACACCAGAGGCGAAGGCGGCUCACUGGGUCUCAACUGACGCUGAUGCACGAAAGCUAGGGUAGCGAACGGG